CCAUCGGCCCUUUUCAGGGCUAUCAAAUUUGUGAAAAAGAGUUAA
Non-coding RNA from Aedes aegypti (yellow fever mosquito), 45 nucleotides. The record is from Rfam. Lineage: Eukaryota; Metazoa; Arthropoda; Insecta; Diptera; Culicidae.